GGGCCGGUAGCUCAGCCUGGUAGAGCAGCGGACUUUUAAUCCGAAGGUCGCGAGUUCAAAUCUCGUCCGGCCCA
RNAcentral lists this transfer RNA (74 nucleotides) under Candidatus Woesearchaeota archaeon. Its description in RNAcentral is "tRNA-Lys". It matches the Rfam family "tRNA". From Rfam's summary of the family: Transfer RNA (tRNA) molecules are approximately 80 nucleotides in length. Their secondary structure includes four short double-helical elements and three loops (D, anti-codon, and T loops). Lineage: Archaea; Nanobdellati; Candidatus Woesearchaeota. The record is from RNAcentral.